UACGAUUAACCCAAAUCAAUAACCUUCGGCGUAAAGAGUGUUUAGGACAUUAUACACAAAUAAAGUCAAAUUGCUACUAAGCCGUAAAAAGCACCAGUAUAAACAAGAUCAACAACGAAAGUGACUUUAGCACAUCCGAACACACGACAGCUAGGGCCCAAACUGGGAUUAGAUACCCCACUAUGCCUAGUCGUAAACACAAAUAUUCCAACAACAAGAAUAUUCGCCAGAGUACUACUAGCAACAGCUAAAAACUCAAAGGACUUGGCGGUGCUUCAUAUCCACCUAGAGGAGCCUGUUCUAUAAUCGAUAAACCCCGAUAAACCUCACCACCUCUUGCUAAUACAGCCUAUAUACCGCCAUCUCUAGCAAACCCUAAAAAGGAGCCACAGUAAGCACAACUAUAGCCAUAAAAACGUUAGGUCAAGGUGUAGCCAAUGAGGUGGGAAGAAAUGGGCUACAUUCCCUAAUUAUAGAGAACACGAAGGUCUUUGUGAAAGCGAAGUCUGAAGGAGGAUUUAGCAGUAAGUCAAAAAUAGAGUGCUUGACUGAACAAGGCCAUGAAACACGC
This 571-nucleotide ribosomal RNA is filed under the name Tamandua tetradactyla (southern tamandua). Its description in RNAcentral is "12S ribosomal RNA". It matches the Rfam family "Bacterial small subunit ribosomal RNA", at positions 524 to 1384 of the family's 1533-position model. The record is from RNAcentral. Lineage: Eukaryota; Metazoa; Chordata; Mammalia; Pilosa; Myrmecophagidae.